This is a long non-coding RNA of Meriones unguiculatus (Mongolian gerbil), 2041 nucleotides long. RefSeq lists it as uncharacterized. The record is from RefSeq and is a predicted model, not a curated record. Lineage: Eukaryota; Metazoa; Chordata; Mammalia; Rodentia; Muridae. The transcript has 4 exons.
UCAGGACCUGGGCGGUCCGAGCGCCAGGGUCACUGCAAAGCUUUCCGCGCGGCGCCUGCAGGCCUGAGAGUGAAGGUUAUGGUGUCAAUUAAUCUUGCGGCUCCUGCUUUGCAUUUGGAGGACGUUUUGCUCCAUUUCGCAAUUCUUAGAGAUAAGACUAUGCGUUUCCCCUUGCAUUUCUUUUUGAUCCCGAUUUCUUCUCUGCGUUAUCUUUUGUUGUUGGUUUAAAGGUUUUUUUAAACGUCAACCAACGACUUUCAAGCUCUGGAAACCAAUGAGUCUGUGGGUGACUCCAAAGCAACUGCACUGCAAGUUCUGCUCCGGGCAUGGAUGACGGUCUCCCUAUCGCCCCAUAAAUGCCCACACUGGAACCUCUGUACAAUUAACCCUUCAGCCAGUGUGCCUGCAAAAUAGGGCAGAACUGCAUAAGGAUGGCUGGGAGGACGAGGCUAGAUCUCAGCAACCUUGGAUUUACCGUGACCUCUCGGACUGGUUUGGACGGGUGAGGAGACACUGAACUUAAUAUCCAUCCAGAUGUUCAAGGUCAGCUUUGAACUUGCUUUGUAGCCAAGAUGAACCUGUCUUUCAGAUCCUCCUACCUCACCUGCAAAGCGCUGGGGUCACAGGUGCCCAUUGCACCUGGCUUAUGCAGUGCUGAGGAUGGAAAGCAGGAUGUUGCCCAGGCUAAGCAAGCACUCUCCGUGUCCAGAUACAUCCCUGGCCAGCGGCAGCCUUUUAAACCUCAUCACUGAAACACGUGGCACUUCCUGGGGUGUGGGGAAAGACUGGGGCUCAGCUUGCACGUGGCUGCUGGAGUAACAUCCUUUUUAGGAGGCAAUUUGGCAGGAUCAACGCAACCUUCAGACAUGCUUGCCUGUACCUAGCCCUCAUCUGAGAAGCUGCCCAUGCCAGGUUGUGAAAUAGACAUUUGGCCUUUGUCCCACUUUCUGAAACAUAAUUCCUGAACUCGUUGGGCUCUCAGAGUGGUGGGUAUUUUUUGUUUUUGCUUUUGUUUUAUUAUUGAGUUGCCUGGCCGGGUAAAUUUAGGAUGGAGGCAAGUCCCCAGAGAAACCCAGGAAUGUGAGAGGACGUGUCUGAGGCACACGGGGUGUGCAGCUGGGGAAAACCGCAUGGAGCUGGAGCUGGAGCUGGAGUGAGGUCCAGACGUGUUCAAGCCCUAAAAAUCUCAACCUUGAGACUGGCAGGAGUAGAGAUAGCUCCCUCCCUGUUCUCUGCCCGAAUGCCCCGGGCACCAUCUCCAUCCUCAAGGCAGUCACGCAGCCUAGCACACAUAUUCUCAGCAUAUCACCCCAGCCAAUGACUCACUCACCCCAAAACGCCUACCCUCUUCCUCAAGGUUUAGCUGGCCCUUAGUCCCCCAGAGAGCUGUGUCGCUGAAAGGGCUGAAACACUAUAAAAGCUGUCGGAGAGACAGCGAUCCUAGUCCACCCCACUCACUGCCGAAGAAGGGUCCUGCAGACCCGCCUCUUUCCUCCACCCUGCUUCCAGCACCUGUACACAGCGGCGUCUGGAUGCCCAAAGGGAAGAAGCCGACCCUAGGCUCCUGACGGGCAGGUGAGGACUCUCACCCUCAGCUCCCUACAGAGGAGAGAAAGGUGGAGGGUAAUUGUGUGUACAGGGAGGCAUCUCAAAAAACAAACAGCAGGGUUCAGAGGGGCAGAGGCAAGCUGACCUCAGGUACUUAGGGACCGCACGGAGUUCUGCACAAAUUCCCACCUGCCUUGCCUCGAGUGUCUCUGCUUCUAAGGGUCAGUGAUCCCUCGGGGGUCCUCCACUUUGGUGGCAGCUAAGUCAGAAGAAGCUGUGGGGGAUCGCCGUGUGCAGUGAGACAAGAAGUUGGAGAUCUCCUGAAACAAGGAUUGGACUGGCUCCAAAGAAACCGAGGACCCUAACCAGCAGGAAGCCACUAAGAGAACUACGCCCCCUCUCCCACUAACCCUUUCUCUCUCCUACUUGGGGUAUUGGAAGGGUUUUGGGUGGAGUAGGGAGAACGAGAUAUUAAAAAUGUAAAUGAAAGGUU